AUGGCACUAUCGCAAAACAUAGAGGUCAGGGUUGAUGUCCAUUUCUGUGGAGUUAACUUUGGUGAUAUUUUGAUCUGCCAUGGUCAAUAUCAGGAAAGGCCCCAUCUUCCCUUCACACCUGGAAUGGAGUUUUCUGGGACAGUGUUGGAGACAGGCACAGAUGUCAGCACAGUUAAAGAGGGAGAUAGAGCUAUUGGCAUAAGAAACUUUAAUUGUAUGGUUGAAGAAUGCAUCACUGACCAGAGGGACCUGUGGCAGAUUCCAGAAAAGGUCUCCCUACAAGAAGCUGCUGUCCUCCCUAUAACUUGUGGCACUGCAAUUUUUGCUCUUGAGCAUCGGGCCCAUUCCCAGCCUGGAGAAAUUGUUUUUAGUGAUGGCAGCAGCUGGAGCACAGGCCUUGCAGUGAUUGACAUUAUAUCUUGUGUUCUUGAUGCAGGUAAUAUAGCUGCUGCUGGAAGUGAUGAGAAGUGCAAGGUGGCGGUGCAGAGGGGUGUGCAGUCCAGCAUGAACUACAGUUAGGGCAGCCUGAAGGAGGCAGUGAGGAAGCUGUUGGGCUAGGGUGGGGUGAAUGUGGCCAUCGACAUGGUGGGAGGAGACAUCUGCCUGGAGGCUCUCCUUAGCCUGGCAUGGGAGGGCAGGAUUGUGGUGGUGGGAUUUGCUGGAGGAAACAUUGCUUCUGUACCAGCCAACCGUCUGCUCCUGAAGAAUGUCUCUGCCAUGGGCCUGUACUGUGACUGAUACAAAGAAAUGAACUUUCCCAUCUUCUCUAAGAGCCUAUCUUCAGUGCUUCAGUACUGCCAGCAAGGGCACAUCCAACCAUAUGUCGGAAUGGUUUUCAAGCUGGAGGAGGUCAAUGAUGCCUUCCUUCAUGUGAUACAGGGGAAAUCCAUGGGCAAGGUGCUUCUCGCUGUUAAAUAAAUCCUCGCCUGAGCAGCAAAGUUAACAUGUCCAGAUCAAAACUCCACAUCUUUCCCCAAAACCUGAUUUCCCUUCUGUGUUUCCAAAGGUGUUACCACUUUCCUUACUAAUCCAGGUUUAAAAUCUUGGAGUCACCUCUGAUUCUGUUACAACAGAAUCAACUCCUAACUAAUAUGAUUAUAUAGUUUAUUGUCCCAACCUUUUUGAGAGUAAAAGGGUGCCAUUAGUAAUUACAUCAGGAAAACAUAUCCCAGGCAAACCAGGGUAUAUGGUCAGUCUACUCAAUGCAUUAUGAAAUGCAGUGAUUGCCGAGUUCUGUCAUUCCCACCUCUAAGAUAUGUCUCAUGUCCAUAUCCUCUUCUCCAUUCUGACUAAUUAAGCCUCAACUGCUAUCACCAGUGACCUUCUAACUGCUUUUCCUACCUUUAAACUACUCUCACCCCCUCCAUCCUUGUGAUGCAUUAUUGCCAUGGUGAUCUUCCCGAAGCAUAGCUCUGACUAUGGCCCAUCUCAGAAAACUACAGUGGCUCACCAUUGCCUGAUGGUGGAGUUCAGACCCCUUGAGCUAGCAUUUCAUUUAUGACUGUGAUUUUUCCCUGCACCACUUUCCAGCCUUAAGUAUGUACUGAACUUUCCUGCCUCCCUUAUUUUGCCCUGCUUGUGCAAUUUUUUCCACCCUCCAUCUCUGUCAAACGUAAGCCUUCCUGACCUCUAAGACCUGCCUUUGUCAUGUGCCUUUACCCUCAGGCAAGGAGCAGUCUCUUCUCUUCCUCUUCUACCUUCCUGUAGCUUCCCCAGGAUUUGUCACAUUCUGCCUUGAAUCAUAGGGAACAACAUGUGUAGUGGAGUGAACACAGGCCUCUGAAUCCAAGAUAUGAGUUUAAAUCCCAGCUUUGAAGGUGGUUACUUACGGUCUCAGUGCCUUCGUUCUUCUCCCUAUAUAAAGUAGAUAUUACAAUACCUAACUUAGAGAGUCAUUGGGAGCUAUACAUGCAGUGAUUGGGUAAAGCACCUGGCAUAUGGCAAGCAAUUAGCAAAUGCUGGUUACUUCUACUUCUUUCUCUUCUCUUUUCCCAAUGUAUCAUAAGUUCCUUGAGAGCAGGCACCAUGUCUGAUUUACCCUUGUAUUUCCCACAGUACUUCCCAUAGUGAGUUACCCUUAGUAAAUAGUAAGUUGAAUUGAAUUUAAAUUACCUGUAAGUUUUAAAAUGUGGGAUUAAAUUGAGAAUAUGUUGCCUUGGAAACACCCAAAUGUCUGUCGAUGGAUGAAUGGAUAAACAAAAUGUGGUAUACACAUAAUGGAAUAUUAUUCAGCCUUAAAAAGGAAUGAAAUUCUGACAUGUACUACAAUAUGAUGAACCUGGAAGACAUUAUAUGUGAAAUAAACCAGACAGAAAAGGACAAAUAUUAUAUGAUUCCACUUAUAUGAAGUACCUAGAGUAGUGAAAUUCAUAGAAACAGAAAGUACAGGUUGACAUCCAAAAUCUGAAAUGGGAAAUGCUCCAAAAUCUGAAACUUUUUGAAUGCUGACGUGAUGCUCAAAGAAAAUGUUCAUCGGAGCAUUUCAGAUUUUGGAUUUUUGGAUUUGGGAUGCUCAAUUGGCAUAAUGUGAAUAUUCCAAACUCUGAAAAAAUCUGAAGUCUAAAACACUUCUGGUCUCAAGAAUUUUGGAUAAAGGAUACUCAAUGUGCAACAUGUAGAAUGUUGGUUGCAAGGUGAGAGGGGAGAAGGGAGAGUUAUUGUUUAAUGGUACAAUGUUUCUGUUUGGGAAGAUGGAAAGUUUUGGAGGUGUGUGAUGGUUAUGGUUGUGCAACAGUGGGAAGGUACUUAGUACUGCUCAACUGUACACUUAAAAAUGGUAAAAAUGAUAAAUUUCAUGUAUGACAACAAUAAAAGAAGUUUUAAAAAAU
Molecule: RNA transcript, 2828 nt
Organism: Rhinopithecus roxellana (golden snub-nosed monkey)
Lineage: Eukaryota; Metazoa; Chordata; Mammalia; Primates; Cercopithecidae
Gene name: quinone oxidoreductase-like protein 2
Exons: 10
Source: RefSeq, a predicted model, not a curated record